CCUACGGGAUGCUGCAGUGAGGAAUAUUGGUCAAUGGGCGCGAGCCUGAACCAGCCAAGUAGCGUGAAGGAUGACUGCCCUACGGGUUGUAAACUUCUUUUAUAAAGGAAUAAAGUGAGGCACGUGUGCCUUUUUGUGUGUACUUUAUGAAUAAGGAUCGGCUAACUCCGUGCCAGCAGCCGCGGUAAUACGUAGGAGGCAAGCGUUAUCCGGAAUGACUGGGCGUAAAGGGUGCGUAGGUGGUUUGACACGUUAGUAGCGCAACUCCGGAGCUCAACCUCGGAACUACUACUAAAACUGUUGGACUUGAGUGCAGGAGAGGCAAUCGGAAUUCCCAGUGUAGCGGUGGAAUGCGUAGAUAUUAGGAGGAACACCAGUGGCGAAGGCGGAUUGCUAGACUGUAACUGACGCUGAGGCACGAAAGCGUGGGGAGCAAACAGGAUUAGAUACCCCAGUAGUC
RNAcentral lists this ribosomal RNA (460 nucleotides) under uncultured bacterium. RNAcentral describes it as "partial 16S ribosomal RNA". It matches the Rfam family "Bacterial small subunit ribosomal RNA", at positions 338 to 795 of the family's 1533-position model. The record is from RNAcentral.